This 457-nucleotide ribosomal RNA is filed under the name uncultured Methylophilus sp. RNAcentral's name for it is "bacterial SSU rRNA". It matches the Rfam family "Bacterial small subunit ribosomal RNA", at positions 346 to 795 of the family's 1533-position model. Lineage: Bacteria; Pseudomonadati; Pseudomonadota; Betaproteobacteria; Nitrosomonadales; Methylophilaceae. The record is from RNAcentral.
GGGCUGCAGUGGGGAAUUUUGGACAAUGGGCGCAAGCCUGAUCCAGCCAUUCCGCGUGAGUGAAGAAGGCCUUCGGGUUGUAAAGCUCUUUCGCAAGGGAAGAAAACUUACAUUCUAAUAAAGUGUGAGGCUGACGGUACCUUGAUAAGAAGCACCGGCUAACUACGUGCCAGCAGCCGCGGUAAUACGUAGGGUGCGAGCGUUAAUCGGAAUUACUGGGCGUAAAGCGUGCGCAGGCGGUUUUGUAAGUCAGAUGUGAAAUCCCCGAGCUCAACUUGGGAACUGCGUUUGAAACUACAAGACUAGAAUAUGUCAGAGGGGGGUAGAAUUCCACGUGUAGCAGUGAAAUGCGUAGAGAUGUGGAGGAAUACCAAUGGCGAAGGCAGCCCCCUGGGAUAAUAUUGACGCUCAUGCACGAAAGCGUGGGGAGCAAACAGGAUUAGAUACCCCAGUAGUC